UUUCCGUAGGUGAACCUGCGGAAGGAUCAUUACCGAGUGAGGGCCCUCUGGGUCCAACCUCCCACCCGUGUUUAUCGUACCUUGUUGCUUCGGCGGGCCCGCCUCACGGCCGCCGGGGGGCACCCGCCCCCGGGCCCGCGCCCGCCGAAGACACCAUUGAACGCUGUCUGAAGAUUGCAGUCUGAGCAUCUUAGCUAAAUCAGUUAAAACUUUCAACAACGGAUCUCUUGGCUCUC
This 236-nucleotide unclassified non-coding RNA is filed under the name plant metagenome. RNAcentral's name for it is "partial contains small subunit ribosomal RNA, internal transcribed spacer 1, and 5.8S ribosomal RNA". The record is from RNAcentral.